This 253-nucleotide ribosomal RNA is filed under the name uncultured bacterium. Its description in RNAcentral is "partial 16S ribosomal RNA". It matches the Rfam family "Bacterial small subunit ribosomal RNA", at positions 524 to 776 of the family's 1533-position model. The record is from RNAcentral.
UACGAAGGGGGCUAGCGUUGCUCGGAAUCACUGGGCGUAAAGCGCACGUAGGCGGCUUUUUAAGUCAGGGGUGAAAUCCUGGAGCUUAACUCCAGAACUGCCUUUGAUACUGAAGAGCUUGAGUCCGGGAGAGGUGAGUGGAACUGCGAGUGUAGAGGUGAAAUUCGUAGAUAUUCGCAGGAACACCAGUGGCGAAGGCGGCUCACUGGCCCGGUACUGACGCUGAGGUGCGAAAGCGUGGGGAGCAAACAGG